GUUUAGCAGACCCGCAGAGCUGGCUCGCCCGGUGGAGAGAAGGCAGCGACUCUCGCCUGGAUUCAGACACCCCAAUUGCUUCAGCUAGCGGAGCCCAAAUGCACAGGAAACUGUUCAAGGGAUCGGUCCGGACCAGUCUGAAGUUGCACCUGACUGGAGCGUAGAGUGACUGAAAGCACUGAAAUAGUGUGCUGAUCUCUGAGGUUGCAUCCAUCUAGAUGUUCAUUUAAGAUGGCAUUAAAGUAUGGCAUCUCUGAUCAACAUCCUCGUGUCCUAGUGACUGUCACUGGAACGCAGUUCCACUGCACUGGCAUUUGUUUCCAUUCUGGACAAGUCGACUGCAACUUAUGGCGACCCUAUGAAUCAGCGACCUCCAAGAGCAUCUGUCAUGAACCACCCUGUUC
Molecule: long non-coding RNA, 404 nt
Organism: Rhineura floridana
Lineage: Eukaryota; Metazoa; Chordata; Lepidosauria; Squamata; Rhineuridae
Exons: 4
Source: RefSeq, a predicted model, not a curated record